GCGUGCGGGAAGAAGGCCUUCGGGUUGUAAACCGCUUUUGUCAGGGAAGAAACGGUUCAUAUUAAUACUAUGGACUAAUGACGGUACCUGAAGAAUAAGCACCGGCUAACUACGUGCCAGCAGCCGCGGUAAUACGUAGGGUGCAAGCGUUAAUCGGAAUUACUGGGCGUAAAGCGUGCGCAGGCGGCUUUGCAAGACAGAUGUGAAAUCCCCGGGCUCAACCUGGGAACUGCAUUUGUGACUGCAUCGCUAGAGUGCGGCAGAGGGGGAUGGAAUUCCGCGUGUAGCAGUGAAAUGCGU
This 300-nucleotide ribosomal RNA is filed under the name uncultured bacterium. RNAcentral's name for it is "bacterial SSU rRNA". It matches the Rfam family "Bacterial small subunit ribosomal RNA", at positions 399 to 691 of the family's 1533-position model. The record is from RNAcentral.